UGGUUCUGGAGCUCCCAGAGUGAUCCCAGAGCUCCCAGAGUGAUCCCAGAGGCUCCAGAGGUGUCCUUGGAGCGAUCCCAGAGCUCCCAGAGCAAUUCCAGAGGCUCCAGAGGUGUCCUUGGGGUGAUCCCAGAGCUCCUGGAGUGAUUCCAGAAGCUCCAGAGGUGUCCUUGGAAUGGUUCUGGAGCUCCCGGAGUGAUCCCAGAGCUCCCACAGCGAUUCCAGAAGCUCCAGAGGUGUCCUUGGAGCGAUCUCAGAGCUCCCGGAGUG
Corvus hawaiiensis (hawaiian crow) is the source of this 270-nucleotide long non-coding RNA. RefSeq lists it as uncharacterized. The transcript has 4 exons. Lineage: Eukaryota; Metazoa; Chordata; Aves; Passeriformes; Corvidae. The record is from RefSeq and is a predicted model, not a curated record.